Molecule: ribosomal RNA, 470 nt
Filed under: uncultured bacterium
Lineage: Bacteria
Description: bacterial SSU rRNA
Rfam family: Bacterial small subunit ribosomal RNA
Source: RNAcentral
AACGCUGGCGGCACGCUUAACACAUGCAAGUCGAACGAAGAUGUUUCACCGUAGCUUGCUACACCGAGACAUUUUAGUGGCGGACGGGUGAGUAACACGUGAGCAAUCUGCCUUUCAGAGGGGGAUACCAGUUGGAAACGACUGUUAAUACCGCAUAACAUAUCGAGAUCGCAUGAUAUUGAUAUCAAAGAUUUAUCGCUGAAAGAUGAGCUCGCGUCUGAUUAGCUAGUUGGUGAGGUAACGGCUCACCAAGGCAACGAUCAGUAGCCGACCUGAGAGGGUAAUCGGCCACAUUGGAACUGAGACACGGUCCAAACUCCUACGGGAGGCAGCAGUGGGGAAUAUUGCACAAUGGGGGAAACCCUGAUGCAGCAACGCCGCGUGAAGGAUGAAGGCCUUUGGGUCGUAAACUUCUGUCCUUGAGGAAGAUAAUGACGGUACUCUUGGAGGAAGCCCCGGCUAACUACGUG